GCACUACUGAAGAGUUCCACAAUAGGACGAAACGGCCGUUCAGUUC
RNAcentral lists this non-coding RNA (46 nucleotides) under Schistosoma mansoni. The record is from RNAcentral. Lineage: Eukaryota; Metazoa; Platyhelminthes; Trematoda; Strigeidida; Schistosomatidae.